RNAcentral lists this transfer RNA (79 nucleotides) under Chitinivibrionales bacterium. Its description in RNAcentral is "tRNA-Leu". It matches the Rfam family "tRNA". From Rfam's summary of the family: Transfer RNA (tRNA) molecules are approximately 80 nucleotides in length. Their secondary structure includes four short double-helical elements and three loops (D, anti-codon, and T loops). Lineage: Bacteria; Pseudomonadati; Fibrobacterota; Chitinivibrionia; Chitinivibrionales. The record is from RNAcentral.
GCGAGAGUGGCGGAAUGGCAGACGCACUGGGUUUAGGACCCAGCGGGGAACCGUGGGGGUUCGAGUCCCCCCUCUCGCA